This 260-nucleotide long non-coding RNA is filed under the name Hordeum vulgare. RNAcentral describes it as "long non-coding RNA (HVUL_LNC002178)". The record is from RNAcentral. Lineage: Eukaryota; Viridiplantae; Streptophyta; Magnoliopsida; Poales; Poaceae.
UAGUUGCCAACUCCUGUACGAAAAUGUAACUGUCAAGUGAUGCGUGGGUAGCCGAUGGAUGCUCCGGCGCUUUGUUUUCUGCACCGAAUGGGUGAUCCAGUGACCAGUGGUGUAUCUGUCGUCACAUUAGAAUCUACAAUAGAACUGUAGAAGGGAUCAGUUAGCCCGUGACAGGGGUCGAAUCGCAGAGAGGUUCCCUUGAAGAAGGAAAGCCCAAAACUUCAAAGUGGGUCGGCAUCAGAUAAGAGGAUUUCGUGCGG